RNAcentral lists this ribosomal RNA (403 nucleotides) under Bacillus subtilis. RNAcentral's name for it is "bacterial SSU rRNA". It matches the Rfam family "Bacterial small subunit ribosomal RNA", at positions 430 to 824 of the family's 1533-position model. Lineage: Bacteria; Bacillati; Bacillota; Bacilli; Caryophanales; Bacillaceae. The record is from RNAcentral.
GCUCUGUUGUUAGGGAAGAACAAGUACCGUUCGAAUAGGGCGGUACCUUGACGGUACCUAACCAGAAAGCCACGGCUAACUACGUGCCAGCAGCCGCGGUAAUACGUAGGUGGCAAGCGUUGUCCGGAAUUAUUGGGCGUAAAGGGCUCGCAGGCGGUUUCUUAAGUCUGAUGUGAAAGCCCCCGGCUCAACCGGGGAGGGUCAUUGGAAACUGGGGAACUUGAGUGCAGAAGAGGAGAGUGGAAUUCCACGUGUAGCGGUGAAAUGCGUAGAGAUGUGGAGGAACACCAGUGGCGAAGGCGACUCUCUGGUCUGUAACUGACGCUGAGGAGCGAAAGCGUGGGGAGCGAACAGGAUUAGAUACCCUGGUAGUCCACGCCGUAAACGAUGAGUGCUAAGUGUU